UUUUUUAAUUGAGAACUAGAAUGAAUGGUUGAACAAAAUAUAUACUGUCUUAAAAUUAUUCAUUGAAUUUUAUUUUUUAGUAAAAAAGCUAAAAUAAAUUUAUAGGACGAGAAGACCCUAUAGAGUUUUAUAUUAUAUUAUUUAGAUACUAAAUUAAUUUUAGAAUUUUAAAGUUUAUUUAAUGUAAUAUUUAGUUGGGGUGAUAUUAAGAAUUAAUUAACUCUUAAAUUUUAAAGCCAUAAAUUAAUGAAUUUUUGAUCCAUUAUUAUUGAUUAAUAGAUUAAGUUACCUUAGGGAUAACAGCGUAAUAUUUUUUUAGAGUUCUUAUCGUCAAAAAAGUUUGC
Molecule: ribosomal RNA, 344 nt
Filed under: Bibio marci (St. Mark's fly)
Lineage: Eukaryota; Metazoa; Arthropoda; Insecta; Diptera; Bibionidae
Description: partial 16S ribosomal RNA
Source: RNAcentral